Long non-coding RNA from Ailuropoda melanoleuca (giant panda), 763 nucleotides. RefSeq lists it as uncharacterized. NCBI's taxonomy places the organism in Eukaryota, Metazoa, Chordata, Mammalia, Carnivora, Ursidae. The transcript is spliced from 5 exons. The record is from RefSeq and is a predicted model, not a curated record.
UGUGAAUGGGUUGUGCUGGGGAUUCGUAGCUCUGAUGCGGGGGAUUUGCUGAUUCCUUUGAGCCCCCUGAGGAGAGGUGAUAUGGAGAGCAAAUAAUCAGCAUGCAGCUCGGAGGCGAGGUAAUGAAUUGGCUCAGCUGGGCCUGGCUUCACUAUUUGUACACUUUUAGGCACCUCGGAAACUGGGUUUGCAGACAAAAACCUGUGCUGAGGGGCCCUCAACCCCCGACCUUUUGUGGGGCUGGAUCGCUGCCGCCUCUCCUACUAGCUUAAGAUUGGAGCCUUGUCUCAGAACGGAGGAGCCUGAGCUCCAGGUUCACCCCCGUGAAGUCUUCCCCACCGGCAAGAUUACGCUGUGGCUUCUCCGUGUUUUCGGAAUGUCGUGACAGGCCAACAAAGGACAAAGAGGCUUAGGGAUUCCGAACCAGCACGGGGUCCCAGCCUGGAAGUGGUAACUGGAGCAGCUUCCACAGAGCUUCCAGCUUCCAACCUCGGGGACCUUCAGCCCCCUCAACACUGCAGCCAGGAGGAUCUCUCUUGGAGACACCCCGAUGGGUCCCUCCGCUCUGAAACUCUUCAAAGUGUCCCCACAGCACCUAGAAGAAAGUUCAAAUGCCUCGGCUUAGCACACAAGCCCCUUUAUGCUCCAGCACCUGGAAAGAAUUAAAUGCAGAUUGAGGGACCUCAUCAGCAACUUCAUGAAAUCCUAGGGUUUGUCAAAGCAUUACUGAUAUGGAUUCAUUUCCUCUUUGAGGAGUCUUCAG